UACGGAGGGGGCUAGCGUUGUUCGGAAUUACUGGGCGUAAAGCGCACGUAGGCGGCUUUGUAAGUUAGAGGUGAAAGCCCCCGGCUCAACUGGGGAGGGUCACUCGAUACUGGUCGACUCGAAGGCAGGAGAGGGUAGUGGAAUUCCCGGUGUAGUGGUGAAAUGCGUAGAUAUCGGGAGGAACACCAAUAGCGAAGGCAGCUCGCUGGAACGUUACUGACGCUGAGACGCGAAAGCGUGGGGAGCAAACAGG
RNAcentral lists this ribosomal RNA (253 nucleotides) under uncultured bacterium. RNAcentral describes it as "partial 16S ribosomal RNA". It matches the Rfam family "Bacterial small subunit ribosomal RNA", at positions 524 to 776 of the family's 1533-position model. The record is from RNAcentral.